Long non-coding RNA from Felis catus (domestic cat), 1037 nucleotides. RefSeq lists it as uncharacterized. The transcript has 3 exons. The record is from RefSeq and is a predicted model, not a curated record. Lineage: Eukaryota; Metazoa; Chordata; Mammalia; Carnivora; Felidae.
GGCUUUGCAAGGCACAGCUAGCUGGUUGGUCACUACCACCAGCCAGAGCCUAUCUAAUACUGGGCAUGUCUGUUUAUAUCUGACUCCCUCAGAAAGCAGGCCCAGUAUCUUACUCAUCUUUGUAAGUCACCAGCCAAUCCAGUGCCCGCACACAGUGGGUGUCCAACCAAUUCGUUGAAUCAAUACUUCCGUUCCAACCCCUCUCACCCAUAUUAUUGGGCCUUUACCUUGUUAGGGUGCUUUUUUGGAGGGUCUACUUUUAAAGUUGUCUUUGAUCUUCACCUGGGUGGGAAUUGGGGGGUGCAACAAGAAGACCGUACAAAUAUAAUUUCUCCUAGGGUCUCUGCAUGUCUAGGCAAUGCCUGCCUGAAAACUGCCUUCUUAUGGAGAGGCUCAGUCCUUGGCCAGAUGGAGCUCUCGUCCAGCGAGUGAACCCCAAUCAUCAAUAACAGCUGUGGGCCCCAGGAGCUCCCUGCAAAAGCAGAAAUACCAGCUGAUAUGAGAAACUUCCCACUGACCGCCGUGAAAGCAAGAAAAACGAAACUGGAGUGUGAAGAUGGAGAAACUGCUCUGCGACAGGCCACGACAGCAUCUGGAACCUUCUGUGAUCAGCUGCCAGUAUCCUUUAAUGAGAACUCGUGUGUUCCUUGAUAUCUCUCUGGGAGCAUCUCAAGAGAAAGGAGAUGUUCGCCAAGAUGGGAUUUUCCCAAAAGAAUUCUUUAGAAAAAGUGCCAGAACUUUUACCUUCCACCUUGACAGUCCCCAGAGACAAACUGAAAGGACCUCGCUUAAAUGCCUCAUCCGAAGGGUAUUUGCAAUGCUGGCUUCAUCAUUCAAAGCAGGAAAGGCCUUUGUCAUGGUCAAAUGGCUUUAAUGUGUUCUGAAUGCUACAUAAAUUCAAAGUUGAUGGCUCAUUUAUUUGUUGGAUUGAAGUUUUAUACAAUAAACUAAGCCUUGGUAUUUACUAAUAACUUGUGCACUGCCCUUUGUUUGUUUAGAACAGCCAGAAGGCAAAGAAGUUGACCGAGUCCCUCAUG